RNAcentral lists this ribosomal RNA (661 nucleotides) under uncultured fungus. RNAcentral describes it as "eukaryotic LSU rRNA". It matches the Rfam family "Eukaryotic large subunit ribosomal RNA", at positions 23 to 664 of the family's 3401-position model. Lineage: Eukaryota; Fungi. The record is from RNAcentral.
ACCCGCUGAACUUAAGCAUAUCAAUAAGCGGAGGAAAAGAAACUAACAAGGAUUCCCCUAGUAACUGCGAGUGAAGCGGGAAAAGCUCAAAUUUAAAAUCUGGCGGUUCUUGUAGUCGUCCGAGUUGUAAUUUAGAGAAGUGCUAUCCACGCUGGACCGUAUACAAGUCUCCUGGAAUGGAGCGUCAUAGAGGGUGAGAAUCCCGUCUUUGAUACGGACUACCAGGGUAUUGUGAUGCGCUCUCGAAGAGUCGAGUUGUUUGGGAAUGCAGCUCAAAAUGGGUGGUAAAUUCCAUCUAAAGCUAAAUAUUGGCGAGAGACCGAUAGCGAACAAGUACCGUGAGGGAAAGAUGAAAAGAACUUUGGAAAGAGAGUUAAACAGUACGUGAAAUUGUUAAAAGGGAAACGCUUGAAGUCAGUCGCGUUGGCUUGGGAUCAACCUUGUUUUUUACUUGGUGUACUUCCUUGUCGAUGGGUCAACAUCAAUUUUGACUGCUGGAUAAAGAUUGAGGGAAUGUGGCAUCCUCGGAUGUGUUAUAGCCCUUAGUUGUAUACAGUGGUUGGGAUUGAGGAACUCAGCACGCCGCAAGGCCGGGUCUUGUACCACGUACGUGCUUAGGAUGUUGGCAUAAUGGCUUUAAUCGACCCGUCUUGAAACACGG